AUAGAAAAUUUAAAUAUCUUAAAAUUCUAAAGGUCCUGAGUCUGAAUGGUUUCUCACUGAGCUAAUAACAUAAUGAUAACAGGACUCUUUUCUUGCCUUGCUAGGGUUUUAUGGUGUGCCUACACUCAACGUAGGAGACCCCUCCCUGUUUUCCAGUCCAGCGAUUGCUUUGUCUCUCAUCAUUUUGACCCUCUCUCCUUUGUCUCAGCUUCUUACGUAUGGACACCCUUGUGACUGUUCCCAGUCUCAUGCUGCAAAUGUUUGCAUAGAUGUGCACAAAACUGAGUGGGUAUGCUUUGGAAAGGUCUGAUUCAGGACUUGGCAGUAUUCUAAAGAUCUCUUCAGAGAACGUUGGAAAACCUACAGCAAGCAAGUAGACAUCACACAGGAACUGAAAGUGGGGUUCACAGAGGUGUUUGGACAUCAUGCAGCGGAAGCCUGUCUCACACAGGAAUAGGCCAUAGAUGGGAACAAUGAGUCUCUGUUUUCAAACAAGUCACCCAAAUGAAGAUGGCAAACGAAGACCAAAGAAGCUGGGGAACCAGCUCGAUGGAGGCCUGUGUGAAGAAAGACUUGGUUUCUGAUGUUAAAAGUGGAUUUUUUGACAAAGUUGAAGGCAAAGAGUGUAACUAGGAAAAGAGAGAAAGCAUCAAAAAGUACUCUAUCUUUUAUUUAAAGCCUGGUAUGGAAAGAGAAGAUUGCCCACGUACCCAUGGCCCACUUUGAUCUGAAGAAACAAUGAAGUUGAAUAUAAAUCGCAGUCUGAUCUGUUUCGAGUUCUCCGGUCUAUUCUGCCAUCCCAGUGCCCUUUCAUCAGGUUUGAAGAAGCUAUUGGAACCAACGUCUUCAGGACUCCAAAUUAGAAUGAAAAUCAGCAGCUUUUCCAGAAUCCUCCAGGACUCCUAGUACCAGAUUGGGAUUGCUGAAACAUCCAGCUUCGUAGACUGAAUCAUGUUCUCAACCUUUCUAUCCUCAGACAGUCAUUUUUGGUCUCCUCAGAGCACAGCCUGUAAGCCAGUCUAAUGAAUUCCAAGGAACUCCUCACCAGCUCCUGCAACCUAGUCUUUGGACUUAUCAGCCUUUAGGAUUGUGAGGAAAUACGUUCUUUAUAAGCUACCAGUUUCAGAGAUGUUGUCAGAGCAAUACAUAGCAGGAAAAGAUGAUCACUCAGGUGAUUAUGUGGAGAAUAUAAAUUUAAAAAUACAUAUUUAUUUUAUGACUAUGACUGCUUUGCCUGUGUGCACAUGUGUGCACCAUACACAUACCUGGUGUCUUUUUAAGUCAGAAGAGGCAUUGAAUCCCAUAAUGCUGAAAUUAUGAAUGGGCCACCAUGCAAAUGCUGGAAACCAAAUCAGGGUCCUGUGCAAGAGCAACAGGUGUUCUUAACUGCUGACCCAUCUCUCCAGACUCUAGAGAGACACUCUUUAUAUGUUUAUAUGCUCAAAGAAUAGAAGGCCCUGGUCAUAAAAGGCAGAUAACCAUUUCCGUAUACACAAAGGACAGACCCAUCUCACAUCACACACCAAACCCUAUAUCUCCUUCCAGAACUUAUUAAGGCAAACUAGACACCAAUUUCAGUCUAUACACAAGCACAGCACUGUGGUGGCUUGAAUAGGAAUGUCCUUCACGGGCUCAUGUAUUUAAAUGUGUGGUCAUUAGAGAGUGGUGCUAUUUGAAAGGACUGGGAGGUACUCUGUUGGAGUAAUGUGUCCCUUGGGAGUGGGCUUUGGGUUUCUGAAGCCCAAACCAGGCCCAGUGGCUCUCUUUCUCCCUUCCUGGAGCUCUGGAUGUAGCGCUUUCAACUUUUCUAGCACCAUGUCUGUCUGUAUACCACCAUGCUUCCUGCCGUGUGGAUUACAGGCUAAACUUCUGAAACUAAGCAAGCCCCAAUAAAAUCUUUUGCUUUUGAA
This is a long non-coding RNA of Mus musculus (house mouse), 1910 nucleotides long. RefSeq annotates it as predicted gene, 30160. Lineage: Eukaryota; Metazoa; Chordata; Mammalia; Rodentia; Muridae. The record is from RefSeq and is a predicted model, not a curated record. The transcript is spliced from 5 exons.